AUCCAGAUGACGAGUCCCAAAUAGGACAAAGUAUGCAUACUGGAU
RNAcentral lists this non-coding RNA (45 nucleotides) under Trichobilharzia regenti. Lineage: Eukaryota; Metazoa; Platyhelminthes; Trematoda; Strigeidida; Schistosomatidae. The record is from RNAcentral.